RNAcentral lists this transfer RNA (77 nucleotides) under Nitrospinota bacterium. RNAcentral describes it as "tRNA-Arg". It matches the Rfam family "tRNA". Rfam says of the family: Transfer RNA (tRNA) molecules are approximately 80 nucleotides in length. Their secondary structure includes four short double-helical elements and three loops (D, anti-codon, and T loops). Further hydrogen bonds mediate the characteristic L-shaped molecular structure. tRNAs have two regions of fundamental functional importance: the anti-codon, which is responsible for specific mRNA codon recognition, and the 3' end, to which the tRNAs corresponding amino acid is attached (by aminoacyl-tRNA synthetases). tRNAs cope with the degeneracy of the genetic code in two manners: having more than one tRNA (with a specific anti-codon) for a particular amino acid; and 'wobble' base-pairing, i.e. permitting non-standard base-pairing at the 3rd anti-codon position. Lineage: Bacteria; Pseudomonadati; Nitrospinota. The record is from RNAcentral.
GCGCCCGUAGCUCAGCUGGAUAGAGCACCGGAUUUCUAAUCCGUAGGUCGUGGGUUCGAGUCCCGCCGGGCGCACCA